This 429-nucleotide ribosomal RNA is filed under the name uncultured delta proteobacterium. RNAcentral's name for it is "bacterial SSU rRNA". It matches the Rfam family "Bacterial small subunit ribosomal RNA", at positions 958 to 1385 of the family's 1533-position model. RNAcentral also lists the same sequence under 1 other name. The record is from RNAcentral. Lineage: Bacteria; Deltaproteobacteria.
AACGCGAAGAACCUUACCAAGGCUUGACAUCUAGAGAACCUUCCGGAAACGGAGGGGUGCCCGCAAGGGAGCUCUAAGACAGGUGGUGCAUGGCUGUCGUCAGCUCGUGUCGUGAGAUGUUGGGUUAAGUCCCGCAACGAGCGCAACCCCCGUUGUUAGUUGCCAUCAGGUAAAGCUGGGCACUCUAGCGAGACUGCCGGUGACAAACCGGAGGAAGGUGGGGAUGACGUCAAGUCAUCAUGCCCUUUAUGCCUUGGGCUACACACGUGUUACAAUGGCUGGGACAAUGCGAUGCAAUCCCGCGAGGGGGAGCGAAUCGCCAAACCCAGUCUCAGUUCGGAUCGUAGGCUGCAACUCGCCUGCGUGAAGUCGGAAUCGCUAGUAAACGCCAAUCAGCACGUGGCGUUGAAUACGUUCCCGGGCCUUGUA